RNAcentral lists this long non-coding RNA (2311 nucleotides) under Phocoena sinus (vaquita). RNAcentral's name for it is "lncRNA (ENSPSNG00000017003.1)". The record is from RNAcentral. Lineage: Eukaryota; Metazoa; Chordata; Mammalia; Artiodactyla; Phocoenidae.
CUGGGAGAAUGUGUGUAGCAUGUCCUCUCUGCAGCAAGCCCUCGGAUCUGCUCUGUUUGCCUUCUCACCCUGCCUCUGCACCUACUGGUGGCUGCCUGAGGCCAGCGGGCUUCAGUGGAAGGUGGCCCUGCCCAGCCUUCAUAGCUGCCUCCAGCCCCAGGAAGCCGGGGCCCCAGGGGGUUCCCCGCUUGACAGGUCUAGGCGACUGCAGCUGGGCAUUGGCUGUAGCCGGCUUCAGAUCUGCCAUGACUGCCCUGUAGCUCCCCAGCCCCUGUGGUAAAGGGGAGAGCCCAGCUGGGUGGGGGCGCCUUCUGUCUGCCUUCCUGCCUGCUCCUUCCUGGACAGCUUUGGGACCCCCACCCCUGCCGCCUGCACCACACACGGAGGAGUUGCCCGGCCCCCUCUCCAGGGUAUAACUCCGCCUCGCCCCCACAUCCUCUUUCCCAGCGACCCCAAUGGAGAGCCCUGUGGUUGGGCUGCCCCGCCUCUCCAGGCUACACUCGCAGGGCCCCGAGGCCAUCAAGCGCUUUGGACUCCCCCACGAGGGUCAGAACACCCCAUUGAGUCGUGCACUGACACCCUGGAAGACGAGGGACAUCCGCCUUCUCCCCAGCCCCCUGUCCCCUAAUACCACGUGGCUAUUGGGUAUCGUGAAGCGUCCACCUUGGGCAGCCAGGCCGCGGAGCGGGCGAGCAGAGCCCCCAGGGCUUUCCGGGGAGCGGUGGCUCAGCCUGUGCUCCAGAAGGCUCAUCCUGCAGCCUCAGCACCAAGGCUGGACUCGGAUACCUGCACCACAACCGGACUUAGCGGGCAGCCCCAGAGCAGAGCCCGGCGGUCCUCCACACUGUCCUAGACUGUCCUGGAGGUGGCCCGGCAGACCCUCGGUGACGGGACAGGGACAGGGCGGGAGCUCCCAGGCCACUGAGCAGCAGACGUGCAAGCUAGGAAGGCUGCCCAGAGGAGGGGAGCGUGGAAUCAACCGCCUCCAGCUGCAGCUCCUCGGUGCCAGGAGGUAAACGCUCAGCAAAGGCUCUGUGUCCGCCCUUGUCGCAUGCGGCCCGCCGAGAUGGGCUGAAUGGCAUUUGCAUUUGCCGGCUUGGGACCGGUUCUUUCUCGAGGGUUCCAUCUGAUGCAUUCAGCACUUCCCAGGAACCUGGAACGCCCGGCAGGACCUAGACAAGGACUCCUCAGGGCAUCUUCUCUGCCCGUUGUGGCUGCGCAGGUUUAUCAGUAUCUGGCUGCACAGGACGUUAUAGUUCUCGACCCCUGACCGCUCCUGGGACGUGGGUACAGCCCGGAGUCUCUGCACUGUCCUCCUGCCUCGUGUCAGGCACAGACGUCACGCCCCUUCUCCCCCGCCAUCGUCAUCCUCCGGUUCCAGCUCUGUGCCCCGGCCUGCUCUGGAGCCUCUGUCCAGCCCUGGUUGCGAGUGUCUCUAGCUCAGCGGCCACUGUCCCUCGCCUCCCGCUGACCCUGUUAUCUCCAACCCCAUGGGCUGCGCUCCCUCCCACCCGGGCCCGUGUCCUCGGCUCCAGCCAGCCUCAUGCUGUUCCCUGAAGUGACCCACUGGUCUCCGGGAGACCAGGGUUAGGGUUGCCCUGAUGCCAGCCCAGGCACUUACUGUCCCUCACAGAGCCUGUUUCCUCCUCUGGAAAUGGGGACAGCCAUCUGUUGGCACCACACAGGGUGACUGGGAGGAUGGCCAUAGAAUCCUUUGCACGCCACCAGGCAGACAGCAAAAACCCAUAAAAGGGGCUCCUGGAAAGGCUCUGUCGACAACCAGGGACAGGUCAGGAACACUGUUGAUGGACAGCCUCAGCAGAAAGCCACCUGGGGCCAGGGCCGGCCACGGCGAGUGUAAAAGAACAUUGAGGGAGACGGAGUGAGGCACCAGGAAAGCGGUCCCUGUGCGUUUCAGAGCCCAGGAAGUGGUCACUUGUGUAGGGGCAGUAUCUCCUUUCGGCCCUAGAAGUAAAUAAAAGCCCUAUAGGAGCUUGAGCCCUAAAGAAAGGUGGCCCUGUGAGGAGCUCCCAGGGCCCCGCACAGGGAAGAGGGUCCAGGAGCUGACAAUCCAUCUUGGGCUCUGUGCAGUGUGGAGCGGGCUGCGUGUGCCUGUGAGUCGGGAAAUAACGACAAAGCUGGGCCUAAAUGUGGACACUUUUCAGUUGGAUACAAGGGGUUUUAUUUUUACAUGAUAUAAGCAGUGUGGCAUGAUGGUUAAGAGAAUCAACUUUGAAACUUAAAGCCCAACUCUACACUGAAGUGUAAGGUUGGACAAGCUAUUAGUCUCCAAAUUUGUUUUCUAAUUAGG